This 550-nucleotide ribosomal RNA is filed under the name Potamon ibericum. RNAcentral describes it as "LSU rRNA". The stretch from base 465 to 550 matches the Rfam family "Eukaryotic large subunit ribosomal RNA", at positions 813 to 898 of the family's 3401-position model. Lineage: Eukaryota; Metazoa; Arthropoda; Malacostraca; Decapoda; Potamidae. The record is from RNAcentral.
GGGGGGCGUCCCGGGGCUUCCUUCGCGGGAGCCCCGGUCGGCGCCCUCCGGGGCCGAUCCUCGACAGACCGUCGCCGCCGGUGUCUCUUCCCACACCAAAGCGGGGCCAAGACGGGAGCGGCGCGGGGUGAGACCCUUUCCCCCGUCGUCCGACUCCCGGCCCCGUGGGUACCCGGCGAGCGCGGCAGUCCGGUGGUCCCUCUCCUCUCGGGGGGAGGAGGCCACCGCCUGUACGCAGGGGGGCGCAGGCCCGGGACUUGCCAUUAGACGCCGUCGCGCAAAUCUGUUGUUGGCCUCGCCGGCUCUGCUUGGGCUCUCGGUUGGCGGGCCGCGCGUCAGGCGGGCUUUAGGGCGGGGGCAUCCCCGUCCGGGUCCGUCCCGCGCGGUUUUGCCUUCCGAUCCUGCUCUGUCCGGAGUGGCCUAGCGCGCGUGCUGUCGGCAAGUACCAUGAGCAGACAUGUUGGGACCCGAAAGAUGGUGAACUAUGCCUGGCCAGGAUGAAGCCAGAGGAAACUCUGGUGGAGGUCCGCAGCAAUUCUGACGUGCAAAU